ACAGGAAUAGAAACCCUGACUAAGACAAUCAUGAAGGUGGUUUUUCCAGGGCAAGGCUUAUCAAUUGCACUCCUGUUGUGCUGACCCCUGUGAUUUCCCCAAAUGUGGGUAAACUCGACUGCAUAAUUUGUAGUAGUGGGGGACUGCAUUUGUACUCUCCCCUG
This 164-nucleotide small nuclear RNA is filed under the name Mus pahari (shrew mouse). RNAcentral's name for it is "snRNA (MGP_PahariEiJ_G0033905.1)". It matches the Rfam family "U1 spliceosomal RNA". From Rfam's summary of the family: U1 is a small nuclear RNA (snRNA) component of the spliceosome (involved in pre-mRNA splicing). Its 5' end forms complementary base pairs with the 5' splice junction, thus defining the 5' donor site of an intron. There are significant differences in sequence and secondary structure between metazoan and yeast U1 snRNAs, the latter being much longer (568 nucleotides as compared to 164 nucleotides in human). The record is from RNAcentral. Lineage: Eukaryota; Metazoa; Chordata; Mammalia; Rodentia; Muridae.